RNAcentral lists this ribosomal RNA (1300 nucleotides) under uncultured Thelephoraceae. Its description in RNAcentral is "eukaryotic LSU rRNA". The stretch from base 660 to 1300 matches the Rfam family "Eukaryotic large subunit ribosomal RNA", at positions 1 to 618 of the family's 3401-position model. Lineage: Eukaryota; Fungi; Basidiomycota; Agaricomycetes; Thelephorales; Thelephoraceae. The record is from RNAcentral.
UCUUGGUCNNUUUAGAGGAAGUAAAAGUCGUAACAAGGUUUCCGUAGGUGAACCUGCGGAAGGAUCAUUACCGAAUUGUCAACAAGAGUUGUUGCUGGUCCUCAAAACGAGGGCAUGUGCACGCUCUGUUUACACAUCCACUCACACCUGUGCACUUUCUGUAGUUCUAUAGUUGGGGAGGCCCUGGCCUUCCUUCUGUAGUCCUAUGUCUCUUCACACACACACACUCAGUGAUAAAGUCUCGUGGAAUGUAUGCUGCGUUUAACGCAAUAUAAUACAACUUUCAGCAACGGAUCUCUUGGCUCUCGCAUCGAUGAAGAACGCAGCGAAAUGCGAUAAGUAAUGUGAAUUGCAGAAUUCAGUGAAUCAUCGAAUCUUUGAACGCACCUUGCGCCCUUUGGCUAUUCUGAAGGGCAUGCCUGUUUGAGCAUCAUAAACAUCUCAACUCUCGUGGUUUCCCAUGAUGAGAUUGGACUUUGGGGGUCUUGUUGGCUUAUGUUCAGCUCCCCUCAAAUCUAUCAGCUUCCCAGUGUUUGGCGGCAUCACAGGUGUGAUAAAUAUCUACGCUUGUGGUUCUUUGCCAGGUCUGUCCUCUCCUUGUGGAGGGCUCGCUGGAGCUCAUAGAUGUCUCUCCUUAGUGGAGACAGCUGUUUGAAGUUUGGUCUCAAAUCAGGUAGGAUUACCCGCUGAACUUAAGCAUAUCAAUAAGCGGAGGAAAAGAAACUAACAAGGAUUCCCCUAGUAACUGCGAGUGAAGCGGGAAGAGCUCAAAUUUAAAAUCUGGCGUGCCUCUGGUCGUCCGAGUUGUAGUCUGGAGAAGCGUUUUCCGUGUUGGACCGUGUACAAGUCCCUUGGAACAGGGCAUCAUAGAGGGUGAGAAUCCCGUCUCUGACACGGACUGCCAAUGCUUUGUGAUGCGCUCUCAAAGAGUCGAGUUGUUUGGGAAUGCAGCUCAAAAUGGGUGGUAAAUUCCAUCUAAAGCUAAAUAUAGGCGAGAGACCGAUAGCGAACAAGUACCGUGAGGGAAAGAUGAAAAGCACUUUGGAAAGAGAGUUAAACAGUACGUGAAAUUGCUGAAAGGGAAACGCUUGAAGUCAGUCGUGUCUGCCAGGACUCAGCUUUGCUCCUGCAUUGUGUAUUUCCUGGUUGGAUGGGCCAAUAUCAAUUUUGACCGUUGGAAAAAGGCUUUGGGAAUGUGGCACCUUCGGGUGUGUUAUAGCCCUUUGUUGUAUACAGCGGUUGGGAUUGAGGACUGCAGCACGCCUUUAUGGCAGGGGUUCGCCCACAUACGUGCUUAGGA